UUCCCAGACUCCUACGGGAGGCAGCAGUGAGGAAUAUUGGUCAAUGGGCUUACGCCUGAACCAGCCAAGUCGCGUGAGGGAAGACUGCCCUAUGGGCUGUAAACCUCUUUUGUCAGGGAGCAAUUGGCGCUACGUGUAGCGUUAUCGAGAGUACCUGAAGAAAAAGCAUCGGCUAACUCCGUGCCAGCAGCCGCGGUAAUACGGAGGAUCCGAGCGUUAUCCGGAUUCAUUGGGUUUAAAGGGUGCGUAGGUUGUUUUAUAAGUUAGCGGUGAAAUACCGAUGCUCAACAUCGGGGCUGCCGCUAAUACUGUAGGACUAGAGAUCGGAUGCAGCAGGCGGAAUGUGUAGUGUAGCGGUGAAAUGCAUAGAUAUUACACAGAACACCGAUUGCGAAGGCAGCAUGCCGGCUCCACACUGACGCUGAGGCACGAAAGCGUGGGUAUCGAACAGGAUUAGAUACCCUAGUA
This 468-nucleotide ribosomal RNA is filed under the name uncultured bacterium. RNAcentral describes it as "bacterial SSU rRNA". It matches the Rfam family "Bacterial small subunit ribosomal RNA", at positions 328 to 792 of the family's 1533-position model. The record is from RNAcentral.